Molecule: long non-coding RNA, 455 nt
Organism: Gordionus sp. m RMFG-2023
Lineage: Eukaryota; Metazoa; Nematomorpha; Gordioida; Chordodea; Parachordodidae
Exons: 6
Source: RefSeq, a predicted model, not a curated record
AAAUGAAUCAUUACAAAGUAUGAUAUAUUUAAUUUGAUUUUUAAAAAAAUAUUUUUUUAGAGUGACACAAAAUCAUCUAACAGCUGAAGAUAAAGAUUCUCAGUGUAAUAUAGAUCAGAAUAUUAGCCAACCCAGUAGCUCAUCUACUAAUACAAUUCAACAAAUACAACCACAACAUAUACAGCCCCAAAUAUUACUAGAGAUAACUUUUACCCUCCAAUUUCAAAUAUAUUAACAAAUGUGGCCCAAAUACAAAGUUUUGCAUUUAACCACACUAAUAAUCAAACUACUUUUACAAACUUGGAACACAUUAACAAUGCAGGAAUUUUAUUAGACUUACAUAAUUCCAACAAUGAAAAUUUAAAUAUACAAUAUAUUCCAACUUCAAAAGGGAAUUUGUGCUUGUAUCAUGAUGGAUAAUAUAUAACAAAAGAAAAGAAUAUUCAAAAUCUAAU